RNAcentral lists this ribosomal RNA (696 nucleotides) under uncultured human fecal bacterium HF102. RNAcentral describes it as "bacterial SSU rRNA". It matches the Rfam family "Bacterial small subunit ribosomal RNA", at positions 32 to 715 of the family's 1533-position model. Lineage: Bacteria; Pseudomonadati; Bacteroidota; Bacteroidia; Bacteroidales; Bacteroidaceae. The record is from RNAcentral.
AACGCUAGCUACAGGCUUAACACAUGCAAGUCGAGGGGCAGCAUCAUCAAAGCUUGCUUUGAUGGAUGGCGACCGGCGCACGGGUGAGUAACACGUAUCCAACCUGCCGUCUACUCUUGGCCAGCCUUCUGAAAGGAAGAUUAAUCCAGGAUGGCAUCAUGAGUUCACAUGUCCGCAUGAUUAAAGGUAUUUUCCGGUAGACGAUGGGGAUGCGUUCCAUUAGAUAGUAGGCGGGGUAACGGCCCACCUAGUCAACGAUGGAUAGGGGUUCUGAGAGGAAGGUCCCCCACAUUGGAACUGAGACACGGUCCAAACUCCUACGGGAGGCAGCAGUGAGGAAUAUUGGUCAAUGGGCGAUGGCCUGAACCAGCCAAGUAGCGUGAAGGAUGACUGCCCUAUGGGUUGUAAACUUCUUUUAUAAAGGAAUAAAGUCGGGUAUGCAUACCCGUUUGCAUGUACUUUAUGAAUAAGGAUCGGCUAACUCCGUGCCAGCAGCCGCGGUAAUACGGAGGAUCCGAGCGUUAUCCGGAUUUAUUGGGUUUAAAGGGAGCGUAGAUGGAUGUUUAAGUCAGUUGUGAAAGUUUGCGGCUCAACCGUAAAAUUGCAGUUGAUACUGGAUGUCUUGAGUGCAGUUGAGGCAGGCGGAAUUCGUGGUGUAGCGGUGAAAUGCUUAGAUAUCACGAAGAACUCCGAUUG